This 2315-nucleotide long non-coding RNA is filed under the name Daphnia magna. Its description in RNAcentral is "uncharacterized LOC116915553, transcript variant X4". Lineage: Eukaryota; Metazoa; Arthropoda; Branchiopoda; Diplostraca; Daphniidae. The record is from RNAcentral.
UUGUCGGUUCAACAAUUAAGGAUUGCCGCGCAAUCUACGAGCGACCCGAGUUUUUUUCAGAGAGAUGGCGCGUCGGUCACGUAGUUAGGGGAAAUGAGGCCGCUAAGUUAUCAUUUAAGUCGGGGCUUCGUGUGCGUUGCCUUGCAACUGACACUGACUGGUUAUUCUACGCCGUUGAUCAGUCACUUCGAUUGGAAUUUUAGCUGGUAGUAUGGACAUGGAGCAGUUCAGUUGGAGUCUUAAUUAGCGAAUUAACUGAAACCAUCGAAAAGCCAGAAUGACGUUCUUCGUUAAAAGCGGCAUGUAGUACUGUAGCUGGAGAUCUUUGGAAGUCUGCUAACUUAGCGAAGCAAAAAAAAGCUAUUUUUUAUGAUGUGACAACAGGAGUUGCCGUUUGAUUCUCGUGAAACAUGCUCCUUGGCUGCCAAAUUUUGUCUGAUCAGUAUUAGCAGAAUGUUUCCCUAUGGAAAUGGCCAUGUGGGAUCAGUUGGUUGGCAGGUGACACGUAAAGUUGAAUUUAUGCCUGGUGAUGAUACAAACUUAUGGAGAUUCGCUGGCAAAAAAAAUUAGUCAUUACUUCCAAUGUUCCAAGGUAGGAAAAUUGAUUGGCCCAAUGCCACUUCAAGAUGAUUACUCAGGUGUCAAAGAUGUCACCAGUUACAUAUCCUUUUUUUCCAAGCAUCAUUUGUUGAAAAACAACCAAUAGCCGUGCGACAAAUAGCAGAUACCAACUUUGACUGUGUAUUGCAUGGUUUCUUCGACUCACGUCAGCUACCUAUUAAGAAACCCAUGGAGCGUCGAGUUAUAGAUGCUGCUGGAUAUCGCUUGCCCAAAGAAAAUAUUGAAAAAAUCAGUUUAGUGUCGAAAACCCCCACAUCGUGGCACUUUUCGUCAAAAACCUACUUUAUAAAGGGAAAUAUUGUAAUACGAAAUAUUCAACCAUUCUAGUCGUGAAGAUCUCUUCAACGGGGACGAUUUUAAAUAUGAUAGAGCAAGGGGAAAUAUGUUAAUAUAUCAUUCAAGUCAUGAAUAUUCCUUCAUUGUAGACGAAUUUAGUAAAUCUGAAAGAGUUAAUUAAAACUGAAGAAAUACUUCAACUUAUCUUAUUUCUCUUUAUAAUCUUUCCAAUGCCAGAGUCUAUUUUCCUCUUAUCGUUAAGGGAUAACCAAACUUGAUGUGAUGUAUUCCUAAUAGAGCAAGCAAUAAGAUUUCUUUUUUCAGGAACCCUUCUUUUUUUUGCCGCUGUUGCAAUAAAACAAAUGCAUAUGCUUGCGUUUUUGUCAUCUGGUUGAAAGGCAAUGUUCAUGUUCUUCGUCGGAAAAUGAAAACCGUCAAUACGGAUCUUCUAAAAAGCUGUAUUGAUUAGUUUUAAGUGGAAAAUUUUAUGUCCAAGACUUGAGUGAACUUUUCUCCCAAGAAAACGAUAUCUAACAUUUGACAACAUCUUUGCAACGUCAAAAAUCAUGCACAAUUUCCUCGGCUAUGUGGACUUCCAUGAAAAUCAGAUGCGCAUACACCACAUCUACUUCGAUCAAUGUGAGGAACUGCGUUAUCGUUAUCGUGGAGCUGCCAAUAAGGUUGACACACUGUCGGAAGAGAGCGUACCGCUUCUUCGUUUACGUUGCCCUUAUGUCCGUCACGGCGAGAGCACGGUUGACUGGUCACGUGGCGAAGCAAAAAGCUGGGACAGGUCCGUAUCAUUAGCUAAAAGCGAGGGAAGCGACUCGUAUCCAUACAGCUGGCUGACAGCCAGUUUUGUACGAGUUUUUCCGACUUUAUUCGUACGUUUACAGCAAUUGAAUGUAUCAAUCUGCAUACGGAAACCAGUCGAUACGAGCCCAUUCUGCAAGACAGAGCUCAACUGAAAUUGCCUCGAGAAAUUGAAUAAUUGCUUGCAGAAUGAUCGUAUCUUUGAGUGGUUUCUUUCUAGUUCCGUGGAUCAUUCGUGUGUAUCGAGGCUGGCAAAGAUGACUCACUGCUGGCGGUACCACAACAAUUCUGGUAAGAAUCAUGCAUUUAUUUAUUUAUUUUUACAGAUAAACACAUGCCAGAGAUACGAGAUAGGCUAGCAAGAUUCUUAUGAUGAAUAACCGAUUGAAUUUUCAAUACCUUCGAUAGAAACAUUCUUUAUUAAUCCUCGACUGCAUUAUAUGGUCAAUGAUGCGGUCGAAAUAGUCAUUUCGCUAAAUUAGUACAUUGCCCUUGAGCCAAAAGUAAUCGUCUUUUCCGUUUAUCCUUUGCUCCAACCCAGGGUAUCCGAUCUUAUUAAUCAUGGUUUUUUUAAAGAAAACUAAAAGGCUGGUUAAAUCUCACUA